AGAGCGAACGCUGGCGGCAUGCUUAACACAUGCAAGUCGCACGGCUGGGGAAACCCAGCAGUGGCGGACGGGUGAGUAACGCGUAGGUAUCUAUCUCCGGGUGGGGGACAACUGUGGGAAACUACAGCUAAUACCGCAUGAUGCCCGAGGGCCAAAGGCGCAAGUCGCCUGGAGAGGAGCCUGCGUACGAUUAGCUUGUUGGCGGGGUAAUGGCCCACCAAGGCGACGAUCGUUAGCUGGUCUGAGAGGACGAUCAGCCACACUGGGAUUGAGAACGGCCCAGACUCCUACGGGGGGCAGCAGUGAGGAAUUUUCGUCAAUGGGGGCAACCCUGAACGAGCAACGCCGCGUGCAGGAAGAAGGUUUUCGGAUCGUAAACUGCUUUUCUCGGGGAAGAGAACGGACGGUACCCGAGGAAUCAGCCCCGGCUAACUACGUGCCAGCAGCCGC
Molecule: ribosomal RNA, 450 nt
Filed under: uncultured bacterium
Lineage: Bacteria
Description: SSU rRNA
Rfam family: Bacterial small subunit ribosomal RNA
Source: RNAcentral